AGAGGCUACAUACAGUAGAGAGGCUAUAUACAGUAGAGAGGCUAUAUACAGUAGAGAGGCUAUAUACAGUAGCGAGGCUACAUACAGUAGAGAGGCUAUAUACAGUAGAGAGGCUAUAUACAGUAGAGAGGCUAUAUACAGUAGAGAGGCUAUAUACAGUAGAGGUUAUAUACAGUAGAGGCUAUAUACAGUAGAGGCUAUAUACAGUAGAGAGGCUAUAUACAGUAGAGAGGCUAUAUACAGUAGAGAGGCUAUAUACAGUAGAGAGGCUAUAUACAGUAGAGAGGCUAUAUACAGUAGAGAGGCUAUAUACAGUAGAGAAUUUAUAUACAGUAGAGAGGCUAUAUACAGUAGAGAGGCUAUAUACAGUAGCGAGGCUACAUACAGUAGAGAGGCUAUAUACAGUAGAGAGAUUAUAUACAGUAGAGAGG
Molecule: long non-coding RNA, 431 nt
Filed under: Salmo salar (Atlantic salmon)
Lineage: Eukaryota; Metazoa; Chordata; Actinopteri; Salmoniformes; Salmonidae
Description: lncRNA (ENSSSAG00000100862.1)
Source: RNAcentral